GAUGAACGCUGGCGGCGUGCUUAACACAUGCAAGUCGAACGGUGAAGGCGGAGCUUGCUCUGCUGGAUCAGUGGCGAACGGGUGAGUAACACGUGAGCAAUCUGCCCCUGACUCUGGGAUAAGCGCUGGAAACGGCGUCUAAUACUGGAUACGAGCUGCGAAGGCAUCUUCAGCAGCUGGAAAGAAUUUCGGUCAGGGAUGAGCUCGCGGCCUAUCAGCUUGUUGGUGAGGUAAUGGCUCACCAAGGCGUCGACGGGUAGCCGGCCUGAGAGGGUGACCGGCCACACUGGGACUGAGACACGGCCCAGACUCCUACGGGAGGCAGCAGUGGGGAAUAUUGCACAAUGGGCGGAAGCCUGAUGCAGCAACGCCGCGUGAGGGACGACGGCCUUCGGGUUGUAAACCUCUUUUAGCAGGGAAGAAGCGAAAGUGACGGUACCCGCAGAAAAAGCGCCGGCUAACUACGUG
RNAcentral lists this ribosomal RNA (468 nucleotides) under uncultured bacterium. RNAcentral describes it as "partial 16S ribosomal RNA". It matches the Rfam family "Bacterial small subunit ribosomal RNA", at positions 28 to 507 of the family's 1533-position model. The record is from RNAcentral.